AUUUACAAAUUAAUGCUUUUUAGAAGUUAGAAAUUUCUUUUAUAUAUUUCAAU
This 53-nucleotide transfer RNA is filed under the name Lyropaeus ritsemae. Its description in RNAcentral is "partial tRNA-Ser". Lineage: Eukaryota; Metazoa; Arthropoda; Insecta; Coleoptera; Lycidae. The record is from RNAcentral.